GGAAGUAAAAGUCGUAACAAGGUUUCCAUAGGUGAAACUACGGAAGGAUCAUUA
Molecule: ribosomal RNA, 54 nt
Filed under: Camellia hongkongensis
Lineage: Eukaryota; Viridiplantae; Streptophyta; Magnoliopsida; Ericales; Theaceae
Description: partial 16S ribosomal RNA
Rfam family: Eukaryotic small subunit ribosomal RNA
Source: RNAcentral